RNAcentral lists this transfer RNA (74 nucleotides) under Candidatus Obscuribacterales bacterium. Its description in RNAcentral is "tRNA-Leu". It matches the Rfam family "tRNA". Rfam says of the family: Transfer RNA (tRNA) molecules are approximately 80 nucleotides in length. Their secondary structure includes four short double-helical elements and three loops (D, anti-codon, and T loops). Lineage: Bacteria; Bacillati; Candidatus Melainabacteria; Candidatus Obscuribacterales. The record is from RNAcentral.
GCUUCUGUAGCAGAAUCGGCACAUGCAUCCGGCUUAAACCCGGAGGUCUGAAGGUUCGAAUCCUUCCAGAAGCA